Molecule: long non-coding RNA, 420 nt
Organism: Ipomoea nil (Japanese morning glory)
Lineage: Eukaryota; Viridiplantae; Streptophyta; Magnoliopsida; Solanales; Convolvulaceae
Exons: 3
Source: RefSeq, a predicted model, not a curated record
UAAUGAAAAUUUGGAGAGACCAAACGUAGAUAAUCUUGAACCAUCUAAUGAAAAUUUGAGGAAUCAAGAUCAUAUUGAUGAGGAUAUUGGUAAUUUGAAUGGACAAGAUAACGUAACAAAUAAUAGUCCUUUGGGUGAACAUGAUAAUUUAUCAAAUGAGUAUAAUGUUGAAAAUAUAUUGAUUGAUGAACAAAUUACUCCUUAUUUUGAUAUUUAUAACCCUAUAAAUUGGUCUAAUCUUGAUAAUAAAUCAAAAUAUAUUUUGGUUGAAAAGGGACCUAUUAGGGAAUUAAAUAAUGUGUUUCCUUUGGAUAAUAACUCUAGGCAUUUUUCAUAUACUUAUUGAAAACCUACUUGAGAUUUUCAAUGCCACAAGAAAGAUUGAAUGGUUUGGCGAUUUUGUGUAUUGAGAAAGAUAUG